UGGGGAAUAUUGCACAAUGGAGGGAACUCUGAUGCAGCGACGCCGCGUGAACGAAGAAGGCUUUCGAGUCGUAAAGUUCUUUUAUAUGGGAAGAUAAUGACGGUACCAUAAGAAAAAGCCCCGGCUAACUACGUGCCAGCAGCCGCGGUAAUACGUAGGGGGCUAGCGUUGUCCGGAAUCACUGGGCGUAAAGGGUUCGCAGGCGGAAAUGCAAGUCAGGUGUAAAAGGCAGUAGCUUAACUACUGUAAGCAUUUGAAACUGCAUAUCUUGAGAAGAGUAGAGGUAAGUGGAAUUUUUAGUGUAGCGGUGAAAUGAGUAGAUAUUAAAAUGAAUACAGGUGGCGAAGGAGACUUACUGGGCUCAUUCUGACGGUGAGGAACGAAAGCGUGGGUAGCAAACAGG
Molecule: ribosomal RNA, 403 nt
Filed under: bacterium
Lineage: Bacteria
Description: partial 16S ribosomal RNA
Rfam family: Bacterial small subunit ribosomal RNA
Source: RNAcentral